AGAUUGAACGCUGGCGGCAUGCCUUACACAUGCAAGUCGAACGGCAGCACGGGAGCAAUCCUGGUGGCGAGUGGCGAACGGGUGAGUAAUAUAUCGGAACGUGCCCAGUCGUGGGGGAUAACGCAGCGAAAGCUGUGCUAAUACCGCAUACGAUCUAUGGAUGAAAGCGGGGGAUCGCAAGACCUCGCGCGAUUGGAGCGGCCGAUAUCAGAUUAGCUAGUUGGGUAGGGGUAAAAGCCCUACCAAGGCGACGAUCUGUAGCUUGGUCUGAGAGGACGACCAGCCACACUGGAACUGAGACACGGUCCAGACU
RNAcentral lists this ribosomal RNA (313 nucleotides) under uncultured soil bacterium. RNAcentral's name for it is "bacterial SSU rRNA". It matches the Rfam family "Bacterial small subunit ribosomal RNA", at positions 26 to 337 of the family's 1533-position model. The record is from RNAcentral.